Molecule: ribosomal RNA, 546 nt
Filed under: uncultured bacterium
Lineage: Bacteria
Description: bacterial SSU rRNA
Rfam family: Bacterial small subunit ribosomal RNA
Source: RNAcentral
UCCUUCCGGCUUAGUGGCGGACGGGUGAGUAAAAAACAAAAGGGCCCUCUGGGAACACUCAGGGAAACCCGACCUAAUACCCGAUGUGCCCUUCGGGGGAAAGAUUUAUCGCCAUUAGAGCGGCCCGCGUCUGAUUAGCUAGUUGGCGAGGUAAAGGCUCACCAAGGCGACGAUCAGUAGCUGGUCUGAGAGGAUGAUCAGCCACAUUGGGACUGAGACACGGCCCAAACUCCUACGGGAGGCAGCAGUGGGGAAUCUUGCGCAAUGGGCGAAAGCCUGAACGCAGCCAUUGCCGCGUGAAUGAUGAAGGUCUUAUGAUUGUAAAAUUCUUUCAGCAGGGACGAUAAUGACGGUACCUGCAGAAGAAGCCCCGGCUAAAAUUUCAUGCCAGCAGCCGCGGUAAUACGAAGGGGGCUAGCGUUUGCUCGGAAUUACUGGGCCUAAAGGGCGCGUAGGCGGGUCGUUUAGUUAGAGGUGAAAGCCCCAGGGUUCAACCCUGGAAUUGCCUUUAAUACUGGGCGGGCCUUGAGUAUGGCAGAGGUGUGU